UCUCAUCACAGUUUAACAGAGCUUUAUCUGUAACAGUUCAGAUCACCAGUGAGAUCCAUCAGCCUUCAGACAAACUAAUAGUUCUCUCCAGCUGAGGACAGAAGUCUGAGAACACUUGCUCCAUCAACUGGGAAUAAGAAAGUCUUCCAAUAAGCCAUGACAGUGUGACAGUGAGCCAGCAUGUGGAACACCAGGACUUGUUGCAGCAUUACUCCCAGACGAUGGUCAACGCCACCAAUGUGUCCUUAUCAAUGGACAGUCCAAAGUGUCCAACUCUCCAAAUUGGCCUUUAUACCAGUCUUUGACGGUCACACAACGAAGAUCCCCACUUCCUGGCCUCGUGUGUUUCCCGCCACUGUGAUUGUCUGCAAUGCCCCUGAUUUGUGUCACCUGUGUCUAAUUGUGUCCCCUCUCCUAUGGUAUUCAUUCUCUGUGCUCCCUUCCCUUUCUGCCAAGUCAUCUUGUUCCUUGUGACAAGGGUCCUAGCCUUCUCCUAGUGUUAGUGGUCUUGGUUUUUGUUAUUCGUAGCCUAGUUUUCCCCUCUUCUUUUGCCUAGCCACCUUUCGGUUUGUUUGCCUGCCUGUGCACUGUCCUUUUUUUGUAGUAAAGACUUUGAUUUUUGUGGAACCUUGAACUGUGUCCUGAAUCGUGCGUUUGAGUCCCCUUGCAAACAGCAGGCCUGGCUCGAUUUUUCAACUGCCAGAGAAUUGAUUGGCAAUUAUUUUUAAAAGCAAGUCAUUUGUCAAGCAAAAAUGCUAAAAAUUGUAUGGUUUCAUCUUGUCAAAGGUAUUUGUUUUUACAUGUCUUACAUGUAAAACUGUAGUAGCUUGAAGGUCUUUAGGUUUUGGACUGCUGGUCAGACAGAAGAAGCAAUUUAGAGACCACCUUGGGGUCUUGGAAAUAUCUGAUGUUUUUUAGACCAAACAAUUAAUCAAAUAAACAAGAAAUGAACCGGCAGGUUAAUGGAAAAAAUUCACAGACAUCCCAGAAAUAUAGUUCAAA
Long non-coding RNA from Xiphias gladius (swordfish), 1002 nucleotides. RefSeq lists it as uncharacterized. NCBI's taxonomy places the organism in Eukaryota, Metazoa, Chordata, Actinopteri, Istiophoriformes, Xiphiidae. The transcript has 3 exons. The record is from RefSeq and is a predicted model, not a curated record.